Molecule: ribosomal RNA, 502 nt
Filed under: uncultured bacterium
Lineage: Bacteria
Description: partial 16S ribosomal RNA
Rfam family: Bacterial small subunit ribosomal RNA
Source: RNAcentral
AUUGAACGCUGGCGGCAUGCUUUGCACAUGCAAGUCGAACGGCAGCACGGGUGCUUGCACCUGGUGGCGAGUGGCGAACGGGUGAGUAAUGUCUCGGAACGUACCCGGCAAUGGGGGAUAACGUAGCGAAAGUUACGCUAAUACCGCAUAUGCCCUGAGGGGGAACGUGGGGGAUCGCAAGCCCUCCCGUUGUCGGAGCGGCCGAUAUCGGAUUAGCUAGUUGGUGGGGUAAAGGCCUACCAAGGCGACGAUCUGUAGUUGGUCUGAGAGGACGACCAGCCACACUGGGACUGAGACACGGCCCAGACUCCUACGGGAGGCAGCAGUGGGGAAUUUUGGACAAUGGGGGCAACCCUGAUCCAGCCAUGCCGCGUGAGUGAAGAAGGCCUUCGGGUUGUAAAGCUCUUUCGGACAGAAAGAAAUCGCCACUUCUAAUAAAGGUGGUGGAUGACGGUACUGUAAGAAGAAGCACCGGCUAACUACGUGCCAGCCGCCGCAGUAA